CCUCCUUUCUAAGGAAACAAUUAUCAUCUUCAGUUUUGAGAGACUUAAGAAAGUUUUUCAUUGUCACUUGCUUGCAAAUUCGUAUUUGCAACAUUUUAAUCUUUUUAAGAUUAAGGGCCUAUAGCUCAGUUGGUUAGAGCACACGCCUGAUAAGCGUGAGGUCGGUGGUUCAAGUCCAUUUAGGCCCACCAUAACCACAAAUAGGCAAAUCUUAAAAAAGCUCUUUGAAAAGUAGAUAAACGAAGGUUAAAAAAUCAAAGG
Molecule: unclassified non-coding RNA, 261 nt
Filed under: Aster yellows phytoplasma
Lineage: Bacteria; Bacillati; Mycoplasmatota; Mollicutes; Acholeplasmatales; Acholeplasmataceae
Description: contains the 16S-23S ribosomal RNA intergenic spacer
Rfam family: tRNA (bases 115-188)
Source: RNAcentral